GACGAACGCUGGCGGCGUGCUUAACACAUGCAAGUCGAACGGAAAGGCCCUGCUUUUGUGGGGUGCUCGAGUGGCGAACGGGUGAGUAACACGUGAGUAACCUGCCCUUGACUUUGGGAUAACUUCAGGAAACUGGGGCUAAUACCGGAUAGGAGCUCCUGCUGCAUGGUGGGGGUUGGAAAGUUUCGGCGGUUGGGGAUGGACUCGCGGCUUAUCAGCUUGUUGGUGGGGUAGUGGCUUACCAAGGCUUUGACGGGUAGCCGGCCUGAGAGGGUGACCGGCCACAUUGGGACUGAGAUACGGCCCAGACUCCUACGGGAGGCAGCAGUGGGGAAUAUGGCACAAUGGGCGGAAGCCUGAUGCAGCAACGCCGCGUGCGGGAGGACGGCCUUCGGGUGGUAAACCGCUUUCGCCUGUGACGAAGCGUGAGUGACCGUAAUGGGUAAAGAAGCACCGGCGAACUACGU
This 467-nucleotide ribosomal RNA is filed under the name uncultured bacterium. RNAcentral describes it as "partial 16S ribosomal RNA". It matches the Rfam family "Bacterial small subunit ribosomal RNA", at positions 28 to 506 of the family's 1533-position model. The record is from RNAcentral.